GACGAACGCUGGCGGCGUGCUUAACACAUGCAAGUCGAGCGGUAAGGCCCUUUCGGGGGUACACGAGCGGCGAACGGGUGAGUAACACGUGGGUGACCUGCCCUCAGCUCUGGGAUAAGCCUGGGAAACCGGGUCUAAUACUGGAUAUGACUCCAUGACGCAUGUUGUGGGGUGAAAGCCUUGUGCGGCUGAGGAUGGGCCCGCGGCCUAUCAGCUUGUUGGUGGGGUGANGGCCUACCAAGGCGACGACGGGUAGCCGGCCUGAGAGGGCGACCGGCCACACUGGGACUGAGACACGGCCCAGACUCCUACGGGAGGCAGCAGUGGGGAAUCUUGCGCAAUGGGCGAAAGCCUGACGCAGCGACGCCGCGUGAGGGAUGAUGGCCUGG
RNAcentral lists this ribosomal RNA (389 nucleotides) under uncultured bacterium. Its description in RNAcentral is "bacterial SSU rRNA". It matches the Rfam family "Bacterial small subunit ribosomal RNA", at positions 28 to 419 of the family's 1533-position model. The record is from RNAcentral.